This 253-nucleotide ribosomal RNA is filed under the name uncultured bacterium. RNAcentral describes it as "partial 16S ribosomal RNA". It matches the Rfam family "Bacterial small subunit ribosomal RNA", at positions 524 to 776 of the family's 1533-position model. The record is from RNAcentral.
UACAGAGGGGGCAAGCGUUAUUCGGAUUUACUGGGCGUAAAGGGCGCGCAGGCGGCCUUGCAAGUAGCGUGUGAAAUCCACCUGCUCAACGGGUGGGGUGCAUGGUAGACUGCAGGGCUAGAGGACGGUAGAGGGGGGUGGAAUUGCUGGUGUAGCGGUGAAAUGCGUAGAGAUCAGCAGGAACACCCGUGGCGAAGGCGGCCCCCUGGGCCGUACCUGACGCUGAGGCGCGAAGGCUAGGGGAGCGAACGGG